UUGUGGGGCGGGGCCUGGCUCUGGCCGCCGGGGAAGCUUCUCGGCGCUCUGCGCGCUUGCCUGCCAGCCCUGCCGUCGCUGGCCUGCGGAGCGCCAGGAGGCCCGGCCCGGGCCCAGGAGCAUUGUGAGCUAGGACGGGACUGCUAGGAGACAGACGCAGAGACCGGAGUCGGAAAGAGAGGCCAGGCAGGAAAAGUGAACACCUCUAAGCCACCAGCCUGUCCGACCACACAGCUGCCACAAGCACAGCCUCCGACCACCGACAGUAGAGCUUUUUGAUCCACUCCCUCCCCAACCAAAAAAAGCUACAGUUCACGAAGUUCCUACCAUGCCCAAGGUGCCAGGCAAAACAAAGGAGAAAAUCAGAAAGUCUGAAAUUACAGAAUUCAUACAGAUCUACAUAAGGAGAAUAAAAAAAAUAUUUAUAGAAACAAUCUGGAAGGGACUUCACACUGAUUCUAGCCACUCCAACAGCUAUCAAAAUGCCUGAAAGCAGAUCCUAGGUCCAAUGUUCUGGAGACUAGCUUUGGAGUCCCAAGGAAAAAGAGGAGCCAUCAAUCAACAGAUCAUCUUGUAAGCUCAUCAAGAGAUUCUAAUGGACUUUGAAAGCAGACCAGUCACUGCCCCAAUUCUAUAGCAGCAGCUAGGGUUACCCUAGGGGGAGGGUAAAAAGGGGCAAAAACAGGAGGUAAGAUUUGGCUAGCAAGUUUAGGGUAAAAAGACCAUAAAGAAAAGUAAAGUUCACUCUUGGAUAAAAAGCCAGAAAUGUGCCUGCAUUUUCUUGGCAGCCUUAUCUUUGCCAGAGACCAAAGACACCAAAAGGGACCCUGACCUCUGAUCUGGUUCCUAAAUGAUUCUAGGAAAAAUCUUUUCAGAGCAAGAGAUGUUGAAGCAGAAGCUUGUUAAGCAAAAACUCCUUCUGAACAAGAGAAUAAAGUCCUAGCCUAGGUGGAAACCUAAUAUUCCAUUUGGGAUAGGUCAAUUGCCUGCCCAAGGGGCUACCCCUAAGACGGCAGCAUCACCUUAAACCAUGUGUCAGGGGCCUCCUUCAGAGGCUCACAGAGACCAUGCUCACCAAACACUCCCUGGUCAUUUUCUGUCUUUAGAGACUUUAGAAGUCAGCAUGUGCUGGCUGAGUUUUAAGAAAAUAAAUAAAUAAAUAAAAAUGAAAAUGUAUAAUAAAAAUGAGGAAUAAUAAGAAACUUUUUUUUCUAUCAAAGGAGGCUAGCCUGUCAAGGACCAAUAUUCCAUAAUCUCUACCCACCCUGUAAAUCCAAACUUUGUUAUUGUUUUGUUUUUGUUUGUUAAGACAGUUUCUCACUGUGUAACCCUGGCUAGCUCAGAACUUGCUAUGUAGGCAAGGCUGGCCCUCAAUUCACAGAGAUCUACCUGCCUCCACCUCCCAAGUGCUGGCAUGAACCAACACACCUUCCUUGCUAAGAAUUCAAAUAUUUUAAUCUCCCCUACUGGUAAAACUUCUGUUUACCCAAAGACCCUGCUGCAUUCCCAUAACAUAAUGGCCCCUUCCUCCUUCCCUGCCUGUAUUUUGGGCUGCUUUCCAAAUGAGCCAAUCAAGAGUAGAUUGUGGGUGCUGGAGAGAUGGCUCAGUGGUUAAGAGCAACGACUGCUCUUCCAGAGGUCCUGAGUUCAAUUCCCAGCAACCACAUGGUGG
Molecule: long non-coding RNA, 1672 nt
Organism: Peromyscus leucopus (white-footed mouse)
Lineage: Eukaryota; Metazoa; Chordata; Mammalia; Rodentia; Cricetidae
Exons: 3
Source: RefSeq, a predicted model, not a curated record